CUGACUCUCUCCUGUUUUUACAGAAAUGAGGAUCAUCACACACGUGUCUCUGUCAAUCAAUGAAUCAACUGAGUUUGAUUUUUGUGAAGC
This is a long non-coding RNA of Sinocyclocheilus rhinocerous, 90 nucleotides long. RefSeq lists it as uncharacterized. The record is from RefSeq and is a predicted model, not a curated record. Lineage: Eukaryota; Metazoa; Chordata; Actinopteri; Cypriniformes; Cyprinidae. The transcript is spliced from 3 exons.